This 471-nucleotide unclassified non-coding RNA is filed under the name Hevea brasiliensis (rubber tree). Lineage: Eukaryota; Viridiplantae; Streptophyta; Magnoliopsida; Malpighiales; Euphorbiaceae. The record is from RNAcentral.
UCCCUAUAAGCUUCGACUUCAUUUGGAAAUGCUUGUUCCAGAUCCUCCAAAAGAUACUUUCUCAUGCUCUUGAAAGCAUCGGUCUUCCCCUUCGUUAUCUGAUUCUUCGCAAUGCAGCUAUUGAGCACAUCCUUCGUGAACUCAUCCGGGUUCUUUCCAUCAUCAAUCAGAUUGAGAACCUCCGCCGGGACCUGAAUAUUACAAUUAUCCGCCAAUUUCUGCAUCGUAUCCAAUUCCCCGACAAGCGUGUUCAGGCGCUGGAGGAGCGGCAUCUGCGCAGCGACGUUGAAGGAGGAGACGGUGAGGUUCAGCUGGUGGAGGAGGCCUAGGGUUUUCUGGAUGGAGUUGAUGACGUGGUUGAGGUUCUGCUUCUGAUCGUCCGCCGGAUCGGCGGUGGCAGGGUUGGAGAUUGGAGUUUGGGCGGGCGUGAGAGAGGCGGUGGCGGCGGCGGCGGCGAAGCCGCCGUUGCCG